UGACAUGCAGUAGACCGGUCCAGAGAUGGGCCUUUCCUUCGGGACUGCUGCACAGGUGCUGCAUGGCUGUCGUCAGCUCGUGCCGUGAGGUGUUGGGUUAAGUCCCGCAACGAGCGCAACCCUUAUCAUUAGUUGCCAACAUUUAAGGUGGGAACUCUAAUGAGACUGCCUGGGUUAACCAGGAGGAAGGUGAGGAUGACGUCAAGUCCGCAUGGCCCUUAUGUCUGGGGCUACACACGUGCUACAAUGGUCGGUACAGAAGGCAGCGAAGCCGCGAGGUGGAGCAAAUCCCGAAAGCCGGCCUCAGUUCAGAUUGUAGUCUGCAACUCGACUACAUGAAGACGGAAUUGCUAGUAAUGGCGAGUCAGCAACAUCGCCGUGAAUACGUUCCCGGGUCUUGUACACACCGCCCGUCACAUCAUGGGAGUUGGUUUUACCCGAAUCCGCUGGCUUAACCGCAAGGGGAGAGGCGUGUAAGGUAAGGC
Molecule: ribosomal RNA, 485 nt
Filed under: uncultured Candidatus Protochlamydia sp.
Lineage: Bacteria; Pseudomonadati; Chlamydiota; Chlamydiia; Parachlamydiales; Parachlamydiaceae
Description: bacterial SSU rRNA
Rfam family: Bacterial small subunit ribosomal RNA
Source: RNAcentral